ACCGGAAGUGUCGCGUUGCCAUGGCGAGGAUGGGCGCGGGGCCCGCCCCCGUGGAGCCUGGAGCAGCGCUGGGCCCCAGGGUCGGCCGGGCAGGGUCUGGGAAGCGGCUAGGCGGGCUCCAGAUGAGACAGCCGGCAGUUGGUCUUACUACACACACCAUUGGCUGA
Molecule: long non-coding RNA, 167 nt
Filed under: Cricetulus griseus (Chinese hamster)
Lineage: Eukaryota; Metazoa; Chordata; Mammalia; Rodentia; Cricetidae
Description: lncRNA (ENSCGRG00000025144.1)
Source: RNAcentral